AGAGUUUGAUCAUGGCUCAGAACGAACGCUGGCGGCAUGCCUAACACAUGCAAGUCGAACGAAGCCUUCGGGCUUAGUGGCGCACGGGUGCGUAACGCGUGGGAACCUGCCUUUAGGUUCGGAAUAACUCCCCGAAAGGGGUGCUAAUACCGAAUAAUGUCUUCGGACCAAAGAUUUAUCGCCUUUAGAUGGGCCCGCGUUGGAUUAGCUAGUUGGUGGGGUAAAGGCCUACCAAGGCGACGAUCCAUAGCUGGUCUUAGAGGAUGAUCAGCCACACUGGGACUGAGACACGGCCCAGACUCCUACGGGAGGCAGCAGUGGGGAAUAUUGGACAAUGGGCGAAAGCCUGAUCCAGCAAUGCCGCGUGAGUGAUGAAGGCCUUAGGGUUGUAAAGCUCUUUUACCAGGGAUGAUAAUGACAGUACCUGGAGAAUAAGCUCCGGCUAACUCCGUGCCAGCCGCCGCGGUAAUAC
Molecule: ribosomal RNA, 472 nt
Filed under: uncultured bacterium
Lineage: Bacteria
Description: bacterial SSU rRNA
Rfam family: Bacterial small subunit ribosomal RNA
Source: RNAcentral